GACGAACGCUGGCGGCGUGCUUAACACAUGCAAGUCGAACGGAAAGGCCUGCUUUCCCUUGUGGAUUGCGGGUACUCGAGUGGCGAACGGGUGAGUAACACGUGAGUGAUCUGCCCCCAACUUGGGUAUAAGCCUGGGAAACUGGGUCUAAUUCCCGAUAGGACUGCAGGGUGGUGCCUGUGGUGGAAAACGAUUUUCUAGUGGUUGGGGAUGAGCUCGCGGCCUAUCAGCUUGUUGGUGGGGUAAUGGCCUACCAAGGCGGCGACGGGUAGCCGGCCUGAGAGGGUGGACGGCCACAGUGGGACUGAGAUACGGCCCAGACUCCUACGGGAGGCAGCAGUGGGGAAUAUUGCACAAUGGGCGGAAGCCUGAUGCAGCGACGCCGCGUGGGGGAUGACGGCCUUCGGGUUGUAAACUCCUUUCGACCGCGAGGAAGCCACCUGGUUGGAAGGGUGGUGACGGUAGCGGUAGAAGAAGCACCGGCUAACUACGUG
RNAcentral lists this ribosomal RNA (494 nucleotides) under uncultured bacterium. Its description in RNAcentral is "partial 16S ribosomal RNA". It matches the Rfam family "Bacterial small subunit ribosomal RNA", at positions 28 to 507 of the family's 1533-position model. The record is from RNAcentral.